Molecule: ribosomal RNA, 460 nt
Filed under: uncultured bacterium
Lineage: Bacteria
Description: partial 16S ribosomal RNA
Rfam family: Bacterial small subunit ribosomal RNA
Source: RNAcentral
CCUACGGGCGGCAGCAGUGAGGAAUAUUGGUCAAUGGACGGAAGUCUGAACCAGCCAUGCCGCGUGCAGGAAGACGGCUCUAUGAGUUGUAAACUGCUUUUGUACAAGGGUAAACCUGAAUACGUGUAUUCAGCUGAAAGUACUUUACGAAUAAGGAUCGGCUAACUCCGUGCCAGCAGCCGCGGUAAUACGGAGGAUCCAAGCGUUAUCCGGAUUUAUUGGGUUUAAAGGGUGCGUAGGCGGAUUGAUAAGUUAGAGGUGAAAUGUCCGGGCUUAACUCGGGAACUGCCUUUAAUACUGGCGAUCUAGAGUGUAGAUGAGGUAGGCGGAAUGUGUGGUGUAGCGGUGAAAUGCUUAGAGAUCAUACAGAACACCGAUUGCGAAGGCAGCUUACCAAUCUAUAUCUGACGUUGAGGCACGAAAGCGUGGGGAGCAAACAGGAUUAGAUACCCCUGUAGUC